RNAcentral lists this ribosomal RNA (568 nucleotides) under Pleospora sp. RNAcentral's name for it is "LSU rRNA". It matches the Rfam family "Eukaryotic large subunit ribosomal RNA", at positions 104 to 687 of the family's 3401-position model. The record is from RNAcentral. Lineage: Eukaryota; Fungi; Ascomycota; Dothideomycetes; Pleosporales; Pleosporaceae.
ACAGCUCAAAUUUGAAAUCUGGCUCUUUUAGGGUCCGAGUUGUAAUUUGCAGAGGGCGCUUUGGCUUUGGCAGCGGUCCAAGUUCCUUGGAACAGGACGUCACAGAGGGUGAGAAUCCCGUACGUGGUCGCUAGCUAUUGCCGUGUAAAGCCCCUUCGACGAGUCGAGUUGUUUGGGAAUGCAGCUCUAAAUGGGAGGUAAAUUUCUUCUAAAGCUAAAUAUUGGCCAGAGACCGAUAGCGCACAAGUAGAGUGAUCGAAAGAUGAAAAGCACUUUGGAAAGAGAGUCAAACAGCACGUGAAAUUGUUGAAAGGGAAGCGCUUGCAGCCAGACUUGCUUGCAGUUGCUCAUCCGGGCUUUUGCCCGGUGCACUCUUCUGUAGGCAGGCCAGCAUCAGUUUGGGCGGUGGGAUAAAGGUCUCUGUCACGUACCUCUCUUCGGGGAGGCCUUAUAGGGGAGACGACAUACCACCAGCCUAGACUGAGGUCCGCGCAUCUGCUAGGAUGCUGGCGUAAUGGCUGUAAGCGGCCCGUCUUGAAACACGGACCAAGGAGUCUAACAUCUAUGC